GACGAACGCUGGCGGCGUGCUUAACACAUGCAAGUCGAACGAUGAAGCUGGAGCUUGCUCCGGAGGAUUAGUGGCGAACGGGUGAGUAACACGUGAGCAAUCUGCCCUUGACUCUGGGAUAACUGCGGGAAACUGUAGCUAAUACCGGAUACGAGGCUCGAAGGCAUCUUCGGGUCUGGAAAGAAUUUCGGUCAAGGAUGAGCUCGCGGCCUAUCAGCUUGUUGGUGAGGUAAUGGCUCACCAAGGCGACGACGGGUAGCCGGCCUGAGAGGGGGACCGGCCACACUGGGACUGAGACACGGCCCAGACUCCUACGGGAGGCAGCAGUGGGGAAUAUUGCACAAUGGGCGAAAGCCUGAUGCAGCAACGCCGCGUGAGGGAUGAAGGCCUUCGGGUUGUAAACCUCUUUUAGCAGGGAAGAAGCGAAAGUGACGGUACCUGCAGAAAAAGCACCGGCUAACUACGUGCCAGCCGCCGCGGUAA
This 483-nucleotide ribosomal RNA is filed under the name uncultured bacterium. RNAcentral's name for it is "partial 16S ribosomal RNA". It matches the Rfam family "Bacterial small subunit ribosomal RNA", at positions 28 to 523 of the family's 1533-position model. The record is from RNAcentral.